Non-coding RNA from Rattus rattus (black rat), 654 nucleotides. NCBI's taxonomy places the organism in Eukaryota, Metazoa, Chordata, Mammalia, Rodentia, Muridae. The record is from the annotation of a RefSeq genome assembly.
AUGUGGCAGUUUUGCAUUCUGUGCCUCUGUGUACUCAUGGCUUUUGUGACUACAGACCCCACAGUGACUUUUCUGGAACAAAAACCGAGGUGGGGUCUGGUACCACGUGGUCAAGCUGCGAACCUGAGCUGCAUCUUGAAGGAUUCCCAGUAUCCCUGGCUGAGCUGGUAUCAGCAGGAUCUCCAAAAGCAACUACAGUUGCUGGUCACUCUGCGAAGUCCUGGGGACAAAGAGGUCAAAUCUCUUCCUGGUGCUGAUUACCUGGCCACACGGGUCAGUGAUACAGAGCUGAGGCUGCAAGUAGCCAACCUGAGCCAGGGCAGAACUCUGUACUGCACCUGCAGUAGAGACACAGUGGUAAACUCUGCUGGGGCAUUGGAACAAAAACCACACAUACACCCUGCCCUCCCCUCCAACCUUUGUUCCUCUGCAAGCCCUUCUGAGCUUUCUUCUAUUCUACCCAGACUUCCCCAUGACCUUGUCCUAGCAAAGAGUGCCCUCUACUUGCUGAUUAGCCACUUUUUCUGUUUGUGUCUGAUUUAUUCUGUGACUCAAGGAGAUCAGAGCAUAGACUUUAGGUCUUCCAUUGUGAGAUUGGAAGAUGUCCUUAUCCUCCUAUAUUGUAGUUUCCGAUUUGCGGAUGUAGACAGCUAA